This 500-nucleotide ribosomal RNA is filed under the name uncultured bacterium. Its description in RNAcentral is "partial 16S ribosomal RNA". It matches the Rfam family "Bacterial small subunit ribosomal RNA", at positions 30 to 523 of the family's 1533-position model. The record is from RNAcentral.
AUUGAACGCUGGCGGCAUGCCUUACACAUGCAAGUCGAACGGCAGCACGGGAGCAAUCCUGGUGGCGAGUGGCGAACGGGUGAGUAAAGUAUCGGAACGUGCCCAGUCGUGGGGGAUAACGUAGCGAAAGUUACGCUAAUACCGCAUACGAUCUAUGGAUGAAAGCGGGGGAUCGCAAGACCUCGCGCGAUUGGGGCGGCCGAUACCAGAUUAGGUAGUUGGUGGGGUAAAGGCUACCCAAGCCGAAGAUCUGUAGCUGGUCUGAGAGGACGACCAGGCACACUGGGACUGAGACACGGCCCAGACUCCUACGGGAGGCAGCAGUGGGGAAUUUUGGACAAUGGGCGAAAGCCUGAUCCAGCCAUGCCGCGUGCAGGAUGAAGGCCUUCGGGUUGUAAACUGCUUUUGUACGGAACGAAAAGGUUUGGCCUAAUAAGCUGAGCUCAUGACGGUACCGUAAGAAUAAGCACCGGCUAACUACGUGCCAGCCGCCGCAGUAA